Molecule: ribosomal RNA, 773 nt
Filed under: Streptococcus anginosus
Lineage: Bacteria; Bacillati; Bacillota; Bacilli; Lactobacillales; Streptococcaceae
Description: bacterial SSU rRNA
Rfam family: Bacterial small subunit ribosomal RNA
Source: RNAcentral
GACGAACGCUGGCGGCGUGCCUAAUACAUGCAAGUAGGACGCACAGUUUAUACCGUAGCUUGCUACACCAUAGACUGUGAGUUGCGAACGGGUGAGUAACGCGUAGGUAACCUACCUAUUAGAGGGGGAUAACUAUUGGAAACGAUAGCUAAUACCGCAUAACAGUAUGUAACACAUGUUAGAUGCUUGAAAGAUGCAAUUGCAUCGCUAGUAGGUGGACCUGCGUUGUAUUAGCUAGUAGGUAGGGUAAUGGCCUACCUAGGCAACGAUACAUAGCCGACCUGAGAGGGUGAUCGGCCACACUGGGACUGAGACACGGCCCAGACUCCUACGGGAGGCAGCAGUAGGGAAUCUUCGGCAAUGGGGGGAACCCUGACCGAGCAACGCCGCGUGAGUGAAGAAGGUUUUCGGAUCGUAAAGCUCUGUUGUUAAGGAAGAACGAGUGUGAGAAUGGAAAGUUCAUGCUGUGACGGUACUUAACCAGAAAGGGACGGCUAACUACGUGCCAGCAGCCGCGGUAAUACGUAGGUCCCGAGCGUUGUCCGGAUUUAUUGGGCUUAAAGCGAGCGCAGGCGGUUAGAAAAGUCUGAAGCGAAAGGCAGUGGCUCAACCAUUGUAGGCUUUGGAAACUGUUUAACUUGAGUGCAGAAGGGGAGAGUGGAAUUCCAUGUGUAGCGGUGAAAUGCGUAGAUAUAUGGAGGAACACCGGUGGCGAAAGCGGCUCUCUGGUCUGUAACUGACGCUGAGGCUCGAAAGCGUGGGGAGCGAACAGG